GAUGAAGAACGUAGCGAAAUGCGAUACUUGGUGUGAAUUGCAGAAUCCCGUGAACCAUCGAGUCUUUGAACGCAAGUUGCGCCCGAAGCCAUCAGGUUGAGGGCACGUCUGCCUGGGCGUCACAUAUCGUUGCCCAAUGCCUAUUGCAGUGCAAUAGGAAUUUCUAGGGCGAAUGAUGGCUUCCCGUGAGCGUUGUUGCCUCGCGGUUGGUUGAAAAUCGAGUCCUUGGUAGGGUGUGCCAUGGUAGAUGGUGGUCGAGUUAGAACGAUACCGAUCAUGUGCAUGCUCCCCAAAAUAUGGCCUCUAUGACCCACACGCGUCUUUUGACGCUCAUGACGAGACCUCAGGUCAGGCGGGGCUACCCGCUGAAUUUAAGCAUAUCAAUAGCGGAGGA
RNAcentral lists this unclassified non-coding RNA (394 nucleotides) under soil metagenome. Its description in RNAcentral is "partial contains 5.8S ribosomal RNA, internal transcribed spacer 2, and large subunit ribosomal RNA". The stretch from base 1 to 122 matches the Rfam family "5.8S ribosomal RNA", at positions 35 to 154 of the family's 154-position model. The record is from RNAcentral.